This 3806-nucleotide unclassified non-coding RNA is filed under the name Homarus americanus (American lobster). Its description in RNAcentral is "kin of IRRE-like protein 1, transcript variant X9". Lineage: Eukaryota; Metazoa; Arthropoda; Malacostraca; Decapoda; Nephropidae. The record is from RNAcentral.
CAGUGAACCAGCGAUGGCGGUGAAGGGCCAAACAGCAAGAAUCCCCUGUCAUACCCCACGUUCUUCCCCCACGGCUCAAGUCCAGCUCACUCUUUGGUAUAAGGAUGGCAUUGGCAGGCCUAUUCACAGUUACGACUCGCGAAGUAGUCCCCCUCGGUCCUGGUCAGAUGAGCGGUUGAUAGGGUUUCGCGCUACCUACAUUCCUGACGGUGAUGAAGACUAUCCUGAGAUACCUUACCUGAAACUGGAGGAGGUUACGACCGAGGAUGCUGGCGUCUACACAUGCAGAGUAGACUACAAGAAAGCCCAGACGCAGAGAGCAGAGGCCAAACUUAUCGUUAUAACUCCUCCCGGGACACCCACCAUCCUGAGAGAAGACGGGACUCAGGUGCAGGACACUAUUGGACCUUAUAAUGAGGGUACCAACGCCAGCAUCACCUGUCAGGUAGUCGGAGGCCACCCUCCGCCAAACGUCAACUGGUGGCACAGAGAGAAACUGCUUGACGGUGAGAUUGACAGCAGGGUCGACUCUGUGUACCGGAACGUCUUACAGGUCGGCCCGAUCACCAGGAAAGACCUUGAUGCCUUCUACGUGUGCCAGACCGUCAACUCUGAUCUGGUCACACCCAUCAGUAGUGGAGUUACCCUCGACGUUAACUUGCCGCCUCUGUCGGUGGAGGUACUAGGGUCGGGUCAGGCUCUGGUAGCUGGGGAGGAGUACGAGGUUACCUGCCAGAGUACAGGUGCUCGACCCCCAGCCACUAUUACCUGGUGGCUGGACGGUGAGCAGCUCAUCAACGAGUCUUCCCGCAUCGAGAACCAGGGAAACGCUACCUUCAGCACCUUAACUCUGGUCCCCGAGAAAGACUAUGGUGGCAAAAUCUUAAAAUGCUUGGCUCAGUCACCAGUCCUUGACCACCACCCCCUCGACGAUACCUGGGAGCUGGAUGUACACUACGUUCCCGAGGUGAAUUUGGAGCUGUUGGAGGAGAUUGAGCCAAACGGUAUGACGGAGGGAGAGAACGUGACGAUGAUCUGCAACCUGAAGGCCAAUCCUGUCGUUAAGAAGGUCAGCUGGUAUCACAAGGGCAAUCUGGUGCGGCAGAAUGCGACAGCAGGAGUCAUAGUGAAAGACAAGAAGUUGAAACUGAGGAACAUCCAACGUCAACAGGCUGGUCAUUACAGCUGCGUCGCUACUAACAUCAUCGGGACAGGCAAUAGUGAACCUGUCGUCCUCAAAGUGAACUACGUGCCGGUGUGCUCAGAUACUACCGACCGCGUCCUGGGAGCUGCCAAGGACGACGAGGUGCAGUUGAACUGUCGUGUCAACGCCUCACCCAGCCAGGUCACCUUCAGCUGGUACUUCAGAACACCAGACAAUCUGAUCCCCAUAGAUAAAGAGAAGUUUACUGUAAAGGAUAGUACCUCGCUGCUCACCUACCAAAUCAGAAAAGAGAGUGACUACGGACAGGUGCUCUGUUUCGCUGCCAACGAGAUCGGGGAACAAUAUGAUCCCUGUACCUUUGAGGUCAAUCCUGCAGGAAAACCAGACGCUAUUGACAACUGUACACUCACCAAUCAGACCACAGACACGUUGUUUGUGUCUUGUCUGCCUGGCUUCGACGGUGGUCUCGAGCAGCAGUUUGUGGCCGAGGUCUUCGAAUUUGAUGGAACUACCCGCCACAUGUUAUUCAAUAUCACCGAGAAGGUGGAGCCUACUUUUACGAUAGAAGCGCUUCAUCCAGGAACUUCUUAUCUCCUGGGCAUAUACGCGGAGAACAUCAAAGGGAAGAGCGAGCAGCGAGUCCUGCACGGGUUCACGCUACCCCCAAAACCUGAAAUUGGCCCCACUACGCCCUCUACACAUAUCUUCCCCAUCACUCCUAUCCUGGGAGGUCUGAUCUGCGUGGUCGGAUUUCUGGUGCUGGUGGCGAUCGUGGUGGUGGUGGUGAUGAAGCUGAGGGGGAACUCACGUAGAGCCAAGGAGCGCCACGACCCAGCAUCAGGCAUCAAGGUACCCCACACUCCUCUACACCACAGCAAGGAUGGCAGCGAUGGUCCCGAUGUGAUCCUCUGUCGCACUGCCGACCCUGCCUACGAGGAUGUCGACGGCAUCCCUCAGAAGCUGAAACACGCCAAUAUUUACGAGACGGUCCCCUACGACAACAAUGACAAGAACACCAAGAACUCAGAGAAUUCCGCCAAGGACGAAGUCGAAUACGCUGAAAUCACCUUCAACAACGGCAAGAACAAACAGAAGGGCCACAAGAAGCAGGGGGCUAGCGGGGCCAAUGGUACAUUACGCUCUUCUGAAGACUCCACCAUCUACGCGACCAUCGAUCACACCCGCACAGCACAGCAACAACAGGAACAUCUGCUUAAACAACAAAGGUCACAGCAACUCCAGGGAACGAAGACAGGGAAGCAGACUAGCGGGGACUUAGACUCUGCUGCUCAAAGGGAACCCGAUGAAAUCCCCCUGAUGGACGGAGCCUUAGAGAGCAGCGUCUGAAAGGGAUGUAACCUGAUGGUAAAGACCAUGAGAGAAAUACACCUCUGACAGUUUCUUGUCUGAGGAGUGACUGUCAGUGGGAGCUAUGAGACUCCCCUCUAACUUGCUGACACAUACGCACACGCGCGCGCCAACACACACACACACACACACACACACACACAUACACACACACACACACAGACACACACACAGACACACACACACACACACACACAAGUAUUAUACGAAUUGAAUAAAAAAUUACACCAUUCAUGCAAAGAAGUUGAAGUAUCCCUCAUUGUGGAAACCCUCACAUUGUUAUUAUCGCAUGUUCCUUAUACAUUAUAAUCUUCCCAUAGUGAGAAAAAGUUUAAAUCAAGAAAGAGAUUACCUACACUUGUCUUAUUUACAAUCGUCGGAUGUAAACCUCAUCUACGAUUAUAUUCCUUGAAGUUGUAUCUAGUCACGCAAUGUUUUUUUUUUGCAAGUAUUUAUAAAAGGCGCCAUCACUCUUUUAUUUUACUUCGCUUACUUCGCCAUAGUAUUUUUGUUUUAGUAAGAGCUUAGACACUAAGGUGAAAUUCUUUUAAUUAGUGGACUCGUGAGCACAAUGAUUGAGGAGUUAUGGAAAUUACUUAAAAUAAUGAUAAUUGAUGUUUCAUUCACAGGAUUUUUUAUAUGAAUCUGGUAGACGUUGUCUGAGUGAUCGUGGGGGUAAUUUCGUUUGACAAGUACAUAGUUGGAAUGUAUGUAAGUUUUUGUAUCUGUGUGUGUGUGUGUGUGUCUACUGUAUAUCUCUGUGUGCGUUUUGUACCUCCCUAUAUCUGUGUAUGUACAGUAUAUGUAUGCAUACGUAAAUAUAUGCAUGUAUGUAUGAAUACCUUAGCAUACAUAUUCUAAACACCAUCUAUAUCUAUAUUCAUAUGUAUACAUGUAUUACCCUCAAACGAAUUAAUAUCUUCCUUGUGUCACUCAGAUUACGUCACACUGCAACACACACAGCAAUAUAAACAUUUAUAAAUAAAACAAGUCUGUAAAUAUUAAACACUCAUCAUAAUCGUCGUCUCUGCCCCCCCCCCCCAUUGACAGGACAUGGCAGAGACAACCAACAAUGAUAAUAAAUCUGGCGAAAGUUAUUUAAUCUUCUAUGUAUCAUUUUUUUUCUACAUUGGAAAAUACUGAGCCUGAUGAGAGACUAACGUUAAGAGAUGCAUUUAACUGUUAGAAGGUAAUCAAAUAUAGUUCUAAGUAUUUACUGUAAAGUCUUCUACUCUGUGGGAGGAACUAUGUUAAUAAAGAAACCACGAACGUA